ACAGAAACCUCUUACAUCUGUUGCAAACAUUGGGGAUUGGAAUCGUGCAGAAUUCUAGAAUGUUAGAGCUGAGGACCAUCACAUUUUCCGUAAUUAUAUACUCUGCACUUCUCGGAGGUGUGAAGGACAGACUGAAAUGCAGCCUUGUGUAUCUUGUCUAACGAUGGUGGCAGCGUCCAUAGCCAGAUCCAUUGUUAACAAAGCCCGUUUCGUGUCUCUCUAGCCAAACUCCCUUCCUCGAGCUUCUUCAUGUCAAGUUCCCCUCGACUGCACAAUUACCCUGAUAGGUCUCAUUAAACCCGGGAUGGAGCCCGACCCCUGACCCCAGUGUUUGGUAAUGAAUUCCAGAACCACCUUGCCAGCUCCCUGCCCUGCUUCCUGUCCAAAUUCACUUGACUCUCGUGGUCAGUGAUCUUGAUGUUCAACGUAACAUGAGACACUCUUCUCAACCCUGCCAUGUGACAAAUCUGGCAUCCUCGGGACAACAUCUGCAUCUCUCUGCUUUGGCGACAGGCUGCUGUCCCUUCCAGGCUAAUCCAGCUUCUGGGAUCUACUCAUCCACAAACCUUCCAUGGCAACUUUUCCAUCCUAAGUGGGCCCUGGCCUCAAAUGUGGGAAAAACCAUGACAACAGUGGCCACUUUACUCCCCUUGGAUUCUACAGAUCACUCCAAAAUCAAAGCUCUCCAUACAAACACACUUGGACAACGUUUUUGCUUUUUUUUUUUAAACUUAAAUUCCUAUACCAAACAAAUGUCUUAAAGAGUUUUUAAUGUAACAUAGUUUAAGGAACAAUAUUGUAAAACACAGCCGUAUCAAUGAAGUCAAGGUUCAUUUUUUAACAGGCACGGUCACGGGAAGUACUGCUUAUCUGCUGUGCUACAUGGUGGUAGGUUGCUGUCUUGGGCUACAAGACCAAGACCAGAAGCUACUUUUGUUUCCACAUCACCAGUUUCUCACCUCUUCAUGCUGUGUCAGCACUCCCCUUGGAAUUAUUCAUUUUGAAGGACGUGCAGUUCAGAGGUGGUGAUCUACGGAAUAUUCGCCACAGUGGAAUCCAUUUACAGAAUUUGCUUUCGUAACUGAGAGUUCUUUUGGCACAAGCUCAGCGAAAAUUAAUGAGUCAUUACAAUGAAAAACAAAAAGGGAAGAGACACCAGUCUACCUAAAAUUCUUGCUUUUUAGAUCUUUCUUCACAAUUUCAAUACUAUUUAUUGACUCUUCCCUAAUUGCUGGAGAAACCAAGAAAAAAGAAAAAAAAAAGAUUUCCUCUGAUCUCAAGAAGCUUGGAGUUGACUGGAGAAGAUGGAAGACAUUAGGUCAGUAAGUGCUGUGACAGACACACGCACAUGUUGCAUGAAGGAAAACUAAGUCUCUAAGGAAGGGGAAGGAGGAAGUGACAUUGGAACUGAGUCUUCAAGGGACAGCUAUUACCAGGUGAAGAAGAUACCCUCGGGUUAUUACUUUUUGUUUCUCAAAAUUCAAGUUAUCUCGCAAAACAUCUCCAGAAGCCAGCUCUCCCUCCAGGUAUGUCAGCUGACCCUGAAGAGUCUCCAACUUGCUUUCUGCUUUCUGGGCCCUCUGAAGAGCUUUCUGGUGAAACCCAGACUCAUUUCCCAACUGUUCAACAAGCUCAGAUAUUCGGGCUUCAAGCUGGGAGACCAUCUGGAAACAAAGAAACAGACAAGGAUAAGCCUUGUUUCGGAUGCACCAAAGUGUUCAAAUCUAGUGCUCAACCCAAGCAACAUAACUAUUUACAACACCAACUUCCAGAUUCUUCGUAAAAAUUAAAUAAAAAACAGGUAAUUUGA
Molecule: long non-coding RNA, 1810 nt
Organism: Felis catus (domestic cat)
Lineage: Eukaryota; Metazoa; Chordata; Mammalia; Carnivora; Felidae
Exons: 5
Source: RefSeq, a predicted model, not a curated record